Molecule: long non-coding RNA, 339 nt
Filed under: Manihot esculenta (cassava)
Lineage: Eukaryota; Viridiplantae; Streptophyta; Magnoliopsida; Malpighiales; Euphorbiaceae
Description: long non-coding RNA (MESC_LNC011285)
Source: RNAcentral
AUUAUUGAAUUAUAUCAACAUAUACAUAAUCAUCUCAUGAUUAUCAAUCAAUAAUCAUAUUAGUUAUAUUUUAUUAUUAUGAACAUAAUAAUAAGUAACUAGGGAUGUUAAUCAUCAUUAUGUAAUAUGCAAACAAAUAAUAAUGAUGGUAAAACCUCUUUUAUUAAUAACUAAAACGACAUACAAAAAGGUCCAAGAUAAUGCCUUAGAGCAAAUAAACUAAUACAAAACACAUAUAGACCGAUGACAGAGACUAGCGAAUAUUGAAAGAGAAUAUUGGACUUCUACAAUCUUUGCCCUCACAAUACUCAUAUUUAUCUUCAACAAAACAUUUUCUCC